AGUGGGAUAGCUGGGUCAAAUGGCAGUUCCAUUCCCAGCUUUCUAAGGAAUCUCUAUACUGCUUUCCAUAUUGAUUGCACCAAUUUGCAGUCCCACCAGCAAU
This 103-nucleotide microRNA precursor is filed under the name Marmota monax (woodchuck). Lineage: Eukaryota; Metazoa; Chordata; Mammalia; Rodentia; Sciuridae. The record is from RNAcentral.